Molecule: long non-coding RNA, 1000 nt
Organism: Amphiprion ocellaris (clown anemonefish)
Lineage: Eukaryota; Metazoa; Chordata; Actinopteri; Pomacentridae
Source: Ensembl
CCUUAAAUAGAAACACACAAGAAUCUGAUUGAAGGAACUUCUGCAGAGUCCUGGUUCCAGAACAUGAUGAUAGAAUUAUAGACAAACUUUAACAAAAGCUGCCUGAGAGUUUACAGGUUUUUAUGUUAGAUUUCUUCAGUAAUUUAAUGAGAGUUAUCAGCAAAAAUCAAGUGUUCAUUUGAUGAACUUCAUUUCCUAAAACAUCCAGAAUUGGAGCUCAUAUCUUUGGCAGCUGUAAAGUUUCUGCUCCUUCAAAGUUCACAACACAAUGAAUGAAUUCCUAAAACACUCUCAAUGCUGGAGAGCGUUUGUGAUGCUGAAGCAGUGACCAGUUUUUCUGUUUCUUCUCUGGAGAUGCACAAUGAGGGACGUCUGCAGAGAAUGAGAAAGAGUCUCACCACAUCCUGACAUGAGGAAAAAGACUUUAUUGAAGACUACAAUGAGAAAAACUAUCCAGACAGCAGACGGCUGCAUUCAAGGCUACAGGAGGAGCCCUACGAGGACGAGCCGGUACACCUGAUGGCGGCCAGUCGCUGCGGUUCAAAGCCAACACCGACUACGUGGACUUCUACUGGACCACAUGGAGACCUUCAGACCAGACCAACAAGUUCACCGACUCCCCGACUCGUGGGUCUGAGGACACCGCCGAGCCUCGGUCCAGCCGGCCUCCUGUCUGUGGGUGUUUGAGUGCUGAGAGGUUUGUGGAUGCAUGUGAAUGUGUCUGUGUUGAAACAGCAGCUUUGGACUCCGUAACGCUGGUAAAAACCAAGAGCUCCUUUAUUUGUGACUUCCAUGAAAAAAAACUGAUGAAAUUAAGUUUGCCAGGGUUCUGACUGAUAACAGAUUAUUAAAUAAUGAAAAUAACAGUUUAAAUAUUCCUUUAAACAAUCCUUUUAGGUCUACAUUUCCUUUACACUGACUUCUUGGAAUAUGCACAAGUAUUAUGGGUGGAAUAUACCAUUAAGCCCAAUGUUCAAGGGUUCUUCUGGGAAUAUACCAU